Molecule: non-coding RNA, 243 nt
Organism: Vicia faba (fava bean)
Lineage: Eukaryota; Viridiplantae; Streptophyta; Magnoliopsida; Fabales; Fabaceae
Source: the annotation of a GenBank genome assembly
AUGAAAUGUGUAUUAUUUCAGCGGAGGUUGUUUCAAUUUUCAGCUAGACUAUUAGCUUGUAUUGUGUCAUGUCAUGUGUUGGAAAUUGGAUUCUUCUACAUUCAAUCUUUUGUCAAUAAAGAUGACUACAGACAUGUUACAUCAUAUGAUGGAACUGGUAAGACCAGUGUUUAUUUACUUCGUCUUCAAUGUAAGUCUUGGAUGGUAAUCCUUGAUUUGUUUUUUCUUUUAGCAGAACAAUAA